RNAcentral lists this long non-coding RNA (259 nucleotides) under Panax ginseng (ginseng). RNAcentral's name for it is "long non-coding RNA (PGIN_LNC014968)". The record is from RNAcentral. Lineage: Eukaryota; Viridiplantae; Streptophyta; Magnoliopsida; Apiales; Araliaceae.
UACGGCUCAUGGGGUUGGGGAGGUGAAAGGAGAUUUGGAUUUGGCCAGAAGGUGUUACAGAAAUGCUGUUAUUACUUCGGGAGCGGGGGUAUCGAAGCAGAAGCAGACCAUGGCGAUAGAGAUCGAACCCUUCACCGAGAGUAGUUCCGAACCGUUGGUCAUGCCAGCUGAAGAAACGGAGGAGAUAGAGCUCAUCCCGGGCAAGGCGGGCAAAACGGUGAAAAUAGGUUCGGGCUUGCCGGAACCUCUCCGGACGAAC